AUUGAACGCUAGCGGCAUGCCUAACACAUGCAAGUCGAACGAGUGGCGGACGGGUGAGUAAUGUCUGGGCAACUGCCCAAUGGAGUGGGAUAACUACUGGAAACGGUCGCUAAUACCGCAUACCAUCUGAUGUGCCCCUAUGGGAUUAUCUAGUUGGUGUGGUAAAGGCUCACCUAGGCGACGAUCCCUAGCUGGUCUGAGAGGAUGACCAGCCAAACUGGAACUGAGACACGGUCCAGACUCCUACGGGAGGCAGCAGUGGGGAAUAGUGCACAAUGGGCGAAAGCCUGAUGCAGCCAUGCCGCGUGUAUGAAGAAGGCCUUCGGGGUGUAAAGUACUUUCAGCGGGGAGGCGUUAACCGCAGAAGAAGCACCGGCUAACUCCGUGCCAGCAGCCGCGGUAAUAC
RNAcentral lists this ribosomal RNA (406 nucleotides) under uncultured bacterium. RNAcentral's name for it is "partial 16S ribosomal RNA". It matches the Rfam family "Bacterial small subunit ribosomal RNA", at positions 30 to 526 of the family's 1533-position model. The record is from RNAcentral.